Molecule: ribosomal RNA, 2932 nt
Filed under: Escherichia coli O111:NM
Lineage: Bacteria; Pseudomonadati; Pseudomonadota; Gammaproteobacteria; Enterobacterales; Enterobacteriaceae
Description: bacterial LSU rRNA
Rfam family: Bacterial large subunit ribosomal RNA
Source: RNAcentral
GGGUUGUGAGGUUAAGCGACUAAGCGUACACGGUGGAUGCCCUGGCAGUCAGAGGCGAUGAAGGACGUGCUAAUCUGCGAUAAGCGUCGGUAAGGUGAUAUGAACCGUUAUAACCGGCGAUUUCCGAAUGGGGAAACCCAGUGUGUUUCGACACACUAUCAUUAACUGAAUCCAUAGGUUAAUGAGGCGAACCGGGGGAACUGAAACAUCUAAGUACCCCGAGGAAAAGAAAUCAACCGAGAUUCCCCCAGUAGCGGCGAGCGAACGGGGAGGAGCCCAGAGCCUGAAUCAGUGUGUGUGUUAGUGGAAGCGUCUGGAAAGGCGCGCGAUACAGGGUGACAGCCCCGUACACAAAAAUGCACAUGCUGUGAGCUCGAUGAGUAGGGCGGGACACGUGGUAUCCUGUCUGAAUAUGGGGGGACCAUCCUCCAAGGCUAAAUACUCCUGACUGACCGAUAGUGAACCAGUACCGUGAGGGAAAGGCGAAAAGAACCCCGGCGAGGGGAGUGAAAAAGAACCUGAAACCGUGUACGUACAAGCAGUGGGAGCACAGAGCAAUCUGUGUGACUGCGUACCUUUUGUAUAAUGGGUCAGCGACUUAUAUUCUGUAGCAAGGUUAACCGAAUAGGGGAGCCGAAGGGAAACCGAGUCUUAACUGGGCGUUAAGUUGCAGGGUAUAGACCCGAAACCCGGUGAUCUAGCCAUGGGCAGGUUGAAGGUUGGGUAACACUAACUGGAGGACCGAACCGACUAAUGUUGAAAAAUUAGCGGAUGACUUGUGGCUGGGGGUGAAAGGCCAAUCAAACCGGGAGAUAGCUGGUUCUCCCCGAAAGCUAUUUAGGUAGCGCCUCGUGAAUUCAUCUCCGGGGGUAGAGCACUGUUUCGGCAAGGGGGUCAUCCCGACUUACCAACCCGAUGCAAACUGCGAAUACCGGAGAAUGUUAUCACGGGAGACACACGGCGGGUGCUAACGUCCGUCGUGAAGAGGGAAACAACCCAGACCGCCAGCUAAGGUCCCAAAGUCAUGGUUAAGUGGGAAACGAUGUGGGAAGGCCCAGACAGCCAGGAUGUUGGCUUAGAAGCAGCCAUCAUUUAAAGAAAGCGUAAUAGCUCACUGGUCGAGUCGGCCUGCGCGGAAGAUGUAACGGGGCUAAACCAUGCACCGAAGCUGCGGCAGCGACGCUGAUGCGUUGUUGGGUAGGGGAGCGUUCUGUAAGCCUGUGAAGGUGUGCUGUGAGGCAUGCUGGAGGUAUCAGAAGUGCGAAUGCUGACAUAAGUAACGAUAAAGCGGGUGAAAAGCCCGCUCGCCGGAAGACCAAGGGUUCCUGUCCAACGUUAAUCGGGGCAGGGUGAGUCGACCCCUAAGGCGAGGCCGAAAGGCGUAGUCGAUGGGAAACAGGUUAAUAUUCCUGUACUUGGUGUUACUGCGAAGGGGGGACGGAGAAGGCUAUGUUGGCCGGGCGACGGUUGUCCCGGUUUAAGCGUGUAGGCUGGUUUUCCAGGCAAAUCCGGAAAACUAAGGCUGAGGCGUGAUGACGAGGCACUACGGUGCUGAAGCAACAAAUGCCCUGCUUCCAGGAAAAGCCUCUAAGCAUCAGGUAACAUCAAAUCGUACCCCAAACCGACACAGGUGGUCAGGUAGAGAAUACCAAGGCGCUUGAGAGAACUCGGGUGAAGGAACUAGGCAAAAUGGUGCCGUAACUUCGGGAGAAGGCACGCUGAUAUGUAGGUGAAGUCCCUCGCGGAUGGAGCUGAAAUCAGUCGAAGAUACCAGCUGGCUGCAACUGUUUAUUAAAAACACAGCACUGUGCAAACACGAAAGUGGACGUAUACGGUGUGACGCCUGCCCGGUGCCGGAAGGUUAAUUGAUGGGGUCAGCGCAAGCGAAGCUCUUGAUCGAAGCCCCGGUAAACGGCGGCCGUAACUAUAACGGUCCUAAGGUAGCGAAAUUCCUUGUCGGGUAAGUUCCGACCUGCACGAAUGGCGUAAUGAUGGCCAGGCUGUCUCCACCCGAGACUCAGUGAAAUUGAACUCGCUGUGAAGAUGCAGUGUACCCGCGGCAAGACGGAAAGACCCCGUGAACCUUUACUAUAGCUUGACACUGAACAUUGAGCCUUGAUGUGUAGGAUAGGUGGGAGGCUUUGAAGUGUGGACGCCAGUCUGCAUGGAGCCGACCUUGAAAUACCACCCUUUAAUGUUUGAUGUUCUAACGUUGACCCGUAAUCCGGGUUGCGGACAGUGUCUGGUGGGUAGUUUGACUGGGGCGGUCUCCUCCUAAAGAGUAACGGAGGAGCACGAAGGUUGGCUAAUCCUGGUCGGACAUCAGGAGGUUAGUGCAAUGGCAUAAGCCAGCUUGACUGCGAGCGUGACGGCGCGAGCAGGUGCGAAAGCAGGUCAUAGUGAUCCGGUGGUUCUGAAUGGAAGGGCCAUCGCUCAACGGAUAAAAGGUACUCCGGGGAUAACAGGCUGAUACCGCCCAAGAGUUCAUAUCGACGGCGGUGUUUGGCACCUCGAUGUCGGCUCAUCACAUCCUGGGGCUGAAGUAGGUCCCAAGGGUAUGGCUGUUCGCCAUUUAAAGUGGUACGCGAGCUGGGUUUAGAACGUCGUGAGACAGUUCGGUCCCUAUCUGCCGUGGGCGCUGGAGAACUGAGGGGGGCUGCUCCUAGUACGAGAGGACCGGAGUGGACGCAUCACUGGUGUUCGGGUUGUCAUGCCAAUGGCACUGCCCGGUAGCUAAAUGCGGAAGAGAUAAGUGCUGAAAGCAUCUAAGCACGAAACUUGCCCCGAGAUGAGUUCUCCCUGACUCCUUGAGAGUCCUGAAGGAACGUUGAAGACGACGACGUUGAUAGGCCGGAUGUGUAAGCGCAGCGAUGCGUUGAGCUAACCGGUACUAAUGAACCGUGAGGCUUAACCUUACAACGCCGAAGCUGUU